AACGAACGCUGGCGGCAGGCUUAACACAUGCAAGUCGAACGCCCCGCAAGGGGAGUGGCAGACGGGUGAGUAACGCGUGGGAAUCUACCUAGUUCUACGGAACAACAGUUGGAAACGACUGCUAAUACCGUAUACGCCCUAUGGGGGAAAGAUUUAUCGGGAUUAGAUGAGCCCGCGUAAGAUUAGCUAGUUGGUGAGGUAAUGGCUCACCAAGGCGACGAUCUUUAGCUGGUCUGAGAGGAUGAUCAGCCACACUGGGACUGAGACACGGCCCAGACUCCUACGGGAGGCAGCAGUGGGGAAUAUUGGACAAUGGGCGCAAGCCUGACGCAGCCAUGCCGCGUGAAUGAUGAAGGUCUUAGGAUUGUAAAAUUCUUUCACCGGGGACGAUAAUGACGGUACCCGGAGAAGAAGCCCCGGCUAACUUCGUGCCAGCAGCCGCGGUAA
This 447-nucleotide ribosomal RNA is filed under the name uncultured bacterium. RNAcentral describes it as "partial 16S ribosomal RNA". It matches the Rfam family "Bacterial small subunit ribosomal RNA", at positions 29 to 523 of the family's 1533-position model. The record is from RNAcentral.